AACCUGGUUGAUCCUGCCAGUAGUCAUAUGCCUGUCUCAAAGAUUAAGCCAUGCAUGUCUAAGUACAAGCCUCACUAAGGUGAAACCGCGAAUGGCUCAUUAAAUCACACCUAAUGUACUGGAUAGUCUCAGUUACUUGGAUAACUGCGGUAAUUCUGGAGCUAAUACAUGCGCAAAAACCGCGACUCACGGAGCGGUGCUUUUAUUAGAUCAAAACCAAACGGCCUCGAGCCGUCCCCCUGGUGAUUCUGAAUAACUUUGGGCUGAUCGCACGGUCGUGUACCGGCGACGUAUCCUUCCAAGGUGUGCCCUAUCAACUGUCGACUGUGGCAUAGACGCCCACAGUGGUUUUGACGGGUAACGGGGAAUUAGGGUUCGAUUCCGGAGAGGGAGCCUGAGAAACGGCUACCACUUCUACGGAAGGCAGCAAGGGCCCCAAU
RNAcentral lists this ribosomal RNA (440 nucleotides) under uncultured eukaryote. Its description in RNAcentral is "SSU rRNA". It matches the Rfam family "Eukaryotic small subunit ribosomal RNA", at positions 1 to 441 of the family's 1831-position model. The record is from RNAcentral.